RNAcentral lists this small RNA (127 nucleotides) under Marmota monax (woodchuck). The record is from RNAcentral. Lineage: Eukaryota; Metazoa; Chordata; Mammalia; Rodentia; Sciuridae.
GCCAGGUGCAGUGGCUCACACCUGUAAUCCCAGCAGCUUGGGAGGCUGAGGCAGGAAGAUAGUGAAUUCAAAGCCAGCCUCAGAAACUUAGUGAGGCCUUAAGAGACUCAGUGAGACCCUGUCUCUA